CCCUAGCCCUGAUGGCAGCGGCAUCCUUUUGCAAAUUAUGCGAUGGAAAAAGCUUUGGGUUUUUGCAAAAGAUACAGCGGACAGCAGGUUCCCGG
This 95-nucleotide small RNA is filed under the name Epilithonimonas bovis DSM 19482. RNAcentral describes it as "Chryseobacterium bovis DSM 19482 Flavo-1 RNA". It matches the Rfam family "Flavo-1 RNA". Lineage: Bacteria; Pseudomonadati; Bacteroidota; Flavobacteriia; Flavobacteriales; Weeksellaceae. The record is from RNAcentral.